This 381-nucleotide ribosomal RNA is filed under the name Triticum aestivum (bread wheat). RNAcentral describes it as "partial small subunit ribosomal RNA". Lineage: Eukaryota; Viridiplantae; Streptophyta; Magnoliopsida; Poales; Poaceae. The record is from RNAcentral.
AUGGAGCUUAUUACAGUAAAAUUAUUUUCCUCAUCUAGAUCAGUUUUCUCAAUCCCUCAACCAAGAUGGGCAGGGGGUGGGGGAUAUGGAGAAGGACGAAGCUCCUGUUGUGGUUGGUGCCGUCGCAAAUGGUGGAUGUUGACCAUGUUGUUCCAUGGAGGGAAGGUAAUAUUGAAGAACAAUUAUCUCACAAAGACAUUGACCAUCCACUCAGCGCAACAGCAGGUUUCUAGGCCACGAUGGUUUAUGGAUCCAAGGAGUAGAUGCACUGACUGCAGUUUGAAGCCAAUGACUGACAUGCAGGUACACUGGAGCAUAAUUUUAUCAAUUACCUAUGGAAGACAGUCCAACAUGGAUGCUCUUAAGAGUACAUGUAUGUAG